RNAcentral lists this long non-coding RNA (979 nucleotides) under Ictidomys tridecemlineatus (thirteen-lined ground squirrel). RNAcentral's name for it is "lncRNA (ENSSTOG00000033852.1)". The record is from RNAcentral. Lineage: Eukaryota; Metazoa; Chordata; Mammalia; Rodentia; Sciuridae.
UCUUUGCAACCUGGCAUGUGAUCUACACUGACAACCAUCUCAAUCCAUACUGGCUGUGUUUCUGGUUCUCAGUAGCCACGGGUGGCAGGUGACCCCUGAAUUGGCCACUCAGGUCUGAGCUAACUUGAACUCCUAACACUAAGUCCUAAAAACAAUGGCAUGAGUAACUACAUGGUGGAAGGAAUAGGAGGGUUAACUUGUGGGUGUUCUUUCCUUUUUUGCUUUGUUUUCUCAGGGAAGAGGUGAGGGGCUUUGUGAAGGUGGCCUCCACCCAUUAGAAGGUUCGUCUGUUUGUCUUGGAGUCCUGGAGCACACAGGAGACCUCCAAGUCUUGCCAGGAAGUGGGAAAUAGGCACCCCUUUGUGUAUUAAGGUCAAAAAGGAGAAGAUUUGACAUGGGCCCCCAGAAGAGGACUAGGUGUCUUCAUGCUCAUUACCCAGGAGCACAGGGAAGUGGCCGUUGUCACUCUUUGAACAGGGCACAGAUGAGGGCAGUGUGCUCUUGCUGACCAGCCUUCCCUGCUGCAUCAGGACCCUGAUUCUCUCUUUCCAGAACUUACCAGGAAGAGAAUUAAGCUAAAUUCUUUCUCCUGCAGGGCUUUCAGCCACUCAGCAGAAGGAGCUGUAGGCAAGCUUCUCCUGGGUUUGCAGCCGAGCGAGUACUGACUUUCGGUGAAGGCCCCUGGGCUGGGACCAGGCAGAGCUGCUGCUUAAAGUUCUGGGGUUCCAUCUCCAGCAGAGGCCCCACCUUGCUCCUUUGGGCCUGGGUUGAAAUUGUCCUUCCCAGCCCCCUUGGCCUGGGGAGAGAGGAGGUUGACAAGGUUGAAUUUCCUGUAACCUGUGAUUUCAUGAGCCCUAGAAUAGACCUACCAACUAUCGCCUACCUCUGCCCUCUCCCAGCAUUUCUUCUGGGAGUGGACUUUUUCUCUACAGCCUGAUAGAGAAACAUCUGGGAAUAUAAUUAGACAGGUAAUUUUAUU